Molecule: non-coding RNA, 70 nt
Organism: Dipodomys ordii (Ord's kangaroo rat)
Lineage: Eukaryota; Metazoa; Chordata; Mammalia; Rodentia; Heteromyidae
Source: Rfam
GGGGAGGUAGCUCAGUGGUAGAGUGCUUGCCUUGCAUGCAUGAGGCCCUGGGUUCAAUUCCUCAGCACCA